GAGCUGGAGACUCGGAAGUUACCAAGAACAUCAAAGGGCUCGCCGUGGAGCUCGGCAACAUGAAAUCGGAAUUAUGCGCUCAAAUACUAACGACUAGAAACAGUAAUCCAGGGAAG
Molecule: non-coding RNA, 116 nt
Organism: Caenorhabditis elegans
Lineage: Eukaryota; Metazoa; Nematoda; Chromadorea; Rhabditida; Rhabditidae
Source: Ensembl